AAACGGGUGGCGUCAAGCUGCAAGCCGGGAGAAUUCAGUCGAUUAGGGUGUCAAUGCGCCUGGCGCAUGGAACAGUCGGAGUGAGUCUGGAUGGUCUGCUGGAAGACAGUGGGUCCUGCCGCAAGGUGGGAUGUGUGUACCGGGUGUUAGCCGGAGCACGCUAUCCGUCUGCUGGACUGCCUAGUCGGUGCACUUUCUCUCAUUAUGGCUAACACCACGACCGGUGGUACAGCCAGUCUGCUAUGGCCAAGUCGUAGUUGGUGGGCACUCUGUUGUCUACUGACUGCGGCGUUCACGGGCAAACUCGGUAGACGGCGUUGGUAUUCGCCUUGUGCGGUGUCGGCGCGUGAUCGGUUACCGGUUGUCUUAACGGGCUGCCUGGCGACGUUGAAGCCGUCGUGUUGGGUGGUCUGGUGGGUCUUAGUGGUAUGAAUAACUGUGCUGGGCACCGGAGUGAUCGGCCUCAAAUGCGGUCGGCAUGCACGCUUCAAGUGUGUAUGAUGUGGGUUGCGCUGCGGCCUGCCUGUUGUUGAGCGUGACUGUCGUGUUGCCUGCGCAAAGUGGGCCCGGCGGUGGCUUGAUGCGGGUUGGUGCUGUACGCGUGGCUUGCAGUGCUGGCUGUGGUGGGCCUGAUAGUCAGUGGUGUAGUGGUAGACGAGCUACCCGACCCGUCUUGAAACACGGACCAAGGAGUUUAACAUGUGUGCAAGUCAAUGGGUCCUACGAAACCCAAAGGCGCAGUGAAAGUGAAGCCUCGACUUGUUUCGGGGUGAGGUGAGAUCCUGCUGUUACUCGCAUACUGCCAAUACCAGGCAAUAAGAGCGGUGGGCGCAUCACCGGCCCGUCCCAUGAUGUGGCCAUUGGAAUAGGGCUGCAGUGAAAGCUGUAGUACCUCCAGUGCGUCAUCGGGGCGGAG
RNAcentral lists this ribosomal RNA (916 nucleotides) under Stillabothrium jeanfortiae. RNAcentral's name for it is "partial 28S ribosomal RNA". The record is from RNAcentral. Lineage: Eukaryota; Metazoa; Platyhelminthes; Cestoda; Rhinebothriidea; Escherbothriidae.